UGGGGAAUAUUGGACAAUGGGCGCAAGCCUGAUCCAGCCAUGCCGCGUGAGUGAUGAAGGCCUUAGGGUUGUAAAGCUCUUUUGUCCGGGAAGAUAAUGACUGUACCGGAAGAAUAAGCCCCGGCUAACUUCGUGCCAGCAGCCGCGGUAAUACGAAGGGGGCUAGCGUUGCUCGGAAUCACUGGGCGUAAAGGGCGCGUAGGCGGACUUUUAAGUCGGGGGUGAAAGCCCAGGGCUCAACCCUGGAAUUGCCUUCGAUACUGGGAGUCUUGAGUUCGGAAGAGGUUGGUGGAACUGCGGGUGUAGAGGUGAAAUUCGUAGAUAUUCGCAAGAACACCGGUGGCGAAGGCGGCCAACUGGUCAGAAACUGACGCUGAGGCGCGAAAGCGUGGGGAGCAAACAGG
RNAcentral lists this ribosomal RNA (404 nucleotides) under Actinomycetes bacterium. RNAcentral's name for it is "Actinobacteria bacterium partial 16S ribosomal RNA". It matches the Rfam family "Bacterial small subunit ribosomal RNA", at positions 355 to 776 of the family's 1533-position model. Lineage: Bacteria; Bacillati; Actinomycetota; Actinomycetes. The record is from RNAcentral.